CCCAUACCCCUUUUUUGAAACUUGCUGCUCUCCUUCUCGCAUAUCAGACCCCAAAUGCCCCCAUUCUCUUUCUUUUGUGACUUCCAAAUCCGAAUCCCUUAGACCCUCACUAAAAUUCAUCCGAAAUCCUUCAUAAAACUCGCUGCUUGCACAUUGGUUCUGAAACGAGGAGACGGUUUGACUUCAAUUUCUAACCAUUCUUGAAGAAUGAACGGUGCUUGGAAGCUCCUACUAAACUAAGCUGAAAUAAUAACAAAGCUACACCAGUGACUAGAAGCUGGAAGUUGGAUGCUCAUAUUACUGUACAUAAAUCAGGUCUUGAACCUGCAAGGUGAAAGUGAUGAGACCUUGCUCAAAAGUGAAUAAAGUAACAUUAAGACAAGCAAUCUGACAUUUCUCAAAAAGGCAAGGCUGCUCGUGCAAGCAACAUCACCUGGAGAUAAGACUUACAAUGACUAGAAGGUAUGAGUUGUAAAGGAGGCUUCUUGGGCAGACCCCUCUGCCUAUAAAAAGAGGCCUCCUUCAACUCUAAGAGUAUGCUCACUUCUCUCUCUCUCUCUCUCUCUAAAACUAUUCUCUCGCAUUCAUGCUUAACUCUAAGAGAUCUCGUUAUUGAUUCUCACGCCAGAGUCAAAAUUCGGAAGGUCACCUCUCAUGUUAAGGCUAACAGUAUUCUUUGUGUGUAGAUUCUGAUCAAGAAGCCAUUUGUCGGAGUGGAUCCUGAACCUUCCCCUUACCAUACUCUUAUUGUUUUAACAAGUAUAAACCAAACCGACUAUAUAACCUUUAUUAUUUAUAUUUUUUUUAA
Helianthus annuus (common sunflower) is the source of this 808-nucleotide long non-coding RNA. RefSeq lists it as uncharacterized. NCBI's taxonomy places the organism in Eukaryota, Viridiplantae, Streptophyta, Magnoliopsida, Asterales, Asteraceae. The transcript has 2 exons. The record is from RefSeq and is a predicted model, not a curated record.